This 160-nucleotide ribosomal RNA is filed under the name Chlorociboria aeruginosa. RNAcentral describes it as "ITS1 ribosomal RNA". Lineage: Eukaryota; Fungi; Ascomycota; Leotiomycetes; Helotiales; Chlorociboriaceae. The record is from RNAcentral.
CUGAGCUCAUGCCUGCGGGGUAGAUCUCCCACCCGUGACAUCUCACACCUGUGUUGCUUUGGCGGGCCGCGAGCCCCUCGCUGCCGGGAGGCAGGUGCCCGCCAGAGGCCCAAAUCCAGUGCUCAGUAUGUCGUCUGAGUAACCAAUACAAAUAGUUAAA